GGAGACGUUCGAAAGGGGGUUACAAAAAACACAGCACUUUGCCAACUCGUAAGAGGAAGUAUAAGGUGUGACGCCUGCCCGGUGCUCGAAGGUUAAGAGGAUGCGUCAGUCGCAAGAUGAAGCGUUGAAUUGAAGCCCGAGUAAACGGCGGCCGUAACUAUAACGGUCCUAAGGUAGCGAAAUUCCUUGUCGGUUAAAUACCGACCUGCAUGAAUGGCGUAACGAGAUGGGAGCUGUCUCAACCAGAGAUUCAGUGAAAUUGUAGUGGAGGUGAAAAUUCCUCCUACCCGCGGCAAGACGGAAAGACCCCGUGGACCUUUACUACAACUUAGCACUGCUAACGGGAAUAUCAUGCGCAGGAUAGGUGGGAGGCUUUGAAGUAAGGGCUUUGGCUCUUAUGGAGA
This 404-nucleotide ribosomal RNA is filed under the name Helicobacter pylori. Its description in RNAcentral is "bacterial LSU rRNA". It matches the Rfam family "Bacterial large subunit ribosomal RNA", at positions 1783 to 2186 of the family's 2925-position model. Lineage: Bacteria; Pseudomonadati; Campylobacterota; Epsilonproteobacteria; Campylobacterales; Helicobacteraceae. The record is from RNAcentral.